AACGAACGCUGGCGGCAGGCCUAACACAUGCAAGUCGAGCGAGGACUUCGGUCCUAGCGGCGGACGGGUGAGUAACGCGUGGGAACGUGCCCUUUGCUUCGGAAUAGCCCUGGGAAACUGGGAGUAAUACCGGAUGAGCCCUUUGGGGGAAAGAUUUAUCGGCGAAGGAUGGGCCCGCGUUGGAUUAGGUAGUUGGUGGGGUAAUGGCCUACCAAGCCGACGAUCGAUAGCUGGUUUGAGAGGAUGAUCAGCCACACUGGGACUGAGACACGGCCAAGACGGCGACGCGAGGGAGAAGUGGGGAAGGGUGUACAAGGGGAGGAAGUCGGAUUCAGCAACGUCGCGCGGGGGAAGAGGGCAUGCGGGGAGGAAACGGAUUUCCCCUGGGACGAAGCGUGAGUGACGGUAAGUGGUAAAGAAGCACCGGCUAACUACGUG
This 438-nucleotide ribosomal RNA is filed under the name uncultured bacterium. Its description in RNAcentral is "partial 16S ribosomal RNA". It matches the Rfam family "Bacterial small subunit ribosomal RNA", at positions 29 to 507 of the family's 1533-position model. The record is from RNAcentral.